Molecule: non-coding RNA, 2441 nt
Organism: Meleagris gallopavo (turkey)
Lineage: Eukaryota; Metazoa; Chordata; Aves; Galliformes; Phasianidae
Source: RefSeq, a predicted model, not a curated record
GAUGUGAUUUGGAAUAUGCUGUGAACCCGACUCUGCGAUGUUCAGGACACUGUUCAUCACUCCAAGCACCAAAGGUGGCCUUGACAUAAGGAUGGAAACUUGAAGGUAGAUGGAUCCGUUUGGGUGCAUCAUACAGCAGCUCUUCUCUGAUAACACUGGCACCUCUAGAAACUAGCAUGAUGGUGAGAAGAUUCUUCUUGCUCUCAGUUCACCUGGGGAGAGAAAUUCAAAAUAUGCCCUAAAGGUUGAUGGAUUGUUCCUGCUGUGUCUUUGGCAAUGCUUAGUCCACAAAGAGCAAACAAGUUUGAGAGUGGGUGCAGCCUGGAAGCGUGAUCCAAAUGGCAGGAGUCCAUUUUGCAGAAUGCAGAGAACCGUUGCUUCCAAUAAAACUUCAUUCUUUUAUGGCAGCUGAGCCACAGAAGCACACUUCGUCUUCAGAAGAAGUCAGAUAAAGGUGUUGCUGCCUCGUGUACAGUAACUUCUCAGCACUGCUGAUCUGGCUGAAAGCGAUGUUAAAUGAAAAAGCAGUAUGAUGUGCUGCAGUCAGUCUGUGGAGCCUUUUAAGGUUGUAAAGGUUAAUAUUUAACCUUCACCUAACUUUUCAAGUAAAUAUACAAAUAAAACUCACUUAUUUUACCUGACAUGGGUUAUAAUGUAUUUAGCCUUAAUUAUGACAAAGUCUUCCACAGUGUUGGAAUGGCUCUUUCAGCAAGUUCCUCAGGCAGGCUUUGGCUUCCUUCCAAGCCCAGAGCCACAGCUUUAUGGCUCCUAGGAUUCCUCUGGCUUCACACAAGUUGCACAAGGAAAGAAAGGGACACAGACGCAGCCCAAAGGCUGUCACUGUACCAUCACUAGAUCUGACUGUAUUUUGGACUGUGAAUGCUAUGAACUGGGAAAUGAAUUUAUCAGCACACUAAGAAGUGCAUGCAAGCAUUGGGAUGACAAGUGGUGUAAGUGAGAAGCAAUGCCUCUUUUUCGUGUGAGGACAACAGUGAUAGCAAGGAGCUUCACUGCACUGUAUUUUCUACUUCUGGGUAUCUGCAGGUAGAUUCUCACAGUAAGCAGCUGUGGAUCAGUUUGUGCCAGAGCACUACCUGCUGGCCUAAUCAGUGAGAAUAAAGAGGGAAAAUGUGAAUUUCCCUGUGAAAAAAUAAAAUUAUAAUUAGUUGUUCUAGAAGAUUUAUCCCUCCAGCUGUUCAAUAAUGUAGUACAGAUUAAAGAUUUAUUGAUAUUCUUGUUUAGGAAUGAGAUUCAUAGUCCUCUGUGUUUAAGCCUGAUUUCUUCUAGAUGUUAUAAAUCCGGUAAAAGUGCAGACCUGUACAGGAUCCCAGCACUGUCUCUGAGCUCCCCCCUGUGACAAGCCUGAUAAGGAUGGAGCCUUAGGCACAGGAUAGGGUCUUGAUUAAGAUCACACACAAAGGCUAAGAUCAGAGAUUUGGGCCACAGUUUUCAAAAGUGGUGCAACUUCCCUUGAGAUCUACUCUUCUUGUAUCGUUUGAGUGCCCGCAACUAUAGACAUUAUUAGAAUUCCUGAUACCAAUAUUAAAGAGUAGUGAAUAUCUCAGAAUAUCCAACAGUAUACACUAUUAUUAUCACCCUGCAUGCCACAUGAGGGAAAUGCCUAAGCUAAACCUUGUGCGUACAUAUAAAUUUACCCUUAUUUUUAGGAAUGAAGUAUAUGCAUUGGAAUGAUGGCACUGCUUUGCAAGCAGUCGGUGUUCCCAUACAUAUUCUAUUUAUUUUCCUGCAUAUAAUUGAAAAUUACAGCCUAAGUGUGAUUCCAGUGCUGCACGCAUGCUCUGGGAAAACUAUUAUGCAUUAGUAGGAAUGUGUGAAUUCCAGGAUUCCAAAGCAAAAACCCCAAGGCAUAACGAAGACAAUCAACAAGCCUUCCCUUGUUUGACACACACUGGUAGGAAGUUCUUAUUCUAAAAACCUCCAGAAAGACUGCACUUAUCAUUUUAGGGCAAUAAUACCUCAAGAGGACAUUGAGGGUAAUGCAUUUGAUAUAGCUCAAUGCUACAGCUGUAUCUUAAGCUGUUUUCAUUUAUCACUGCUAUCAUGGUUGAUAGUUUGCGUACUCUGCAGCAUUUCCUGUUCAUAAUGGUGUAAUUGUUAACUAAGAUUUUGAUUCAACUAUCUUUAAAAACAUGGAUAAAAGAUGCAAAAUGGCAAAUCACAAAUAAUUGCAAUUAUUUGCACCAGCAAGUACAAAAGCAUCCGUAGCCUAAAUAUACCAAUAUCUUGCAGCAACACACUUACCAUUUUCUGAAACAAAACAGACAAAAAUAUAUUUCAAUCAGAUCCUAAAUUUUGUGUUAGAUAAGGUAUCAAUAGGCUACAGGCAGUUCCCAACAGUUACAGGGCAACAGCACCAUCUUCAGGUCACUAGAGAAUUAAACGAAGAGAAGCUGCAGGUAUUGUUCUGAAGAUAUCUUACU